GGGGAGGCGCUCAGCAUUCGGGUAAUUAAGGUUGCAAAAUGGCGAGGGGGGAGGUAAGCUGUCUUUGCUUGGCCAUCUUGGGCUAGCAGGCCUUGCAGAGAACUACCUUUUUAGCUGAGUGAAGGGAUCAACCUGAGUUGGAGUUCUCCUAUGCUGUGGCCAGAUCCACUAGAAAUUAACCCAGAAUCUUAGCCUCUCAGUGGCCUAUCGGUGAUGCCACACUCAAUCAGAAACUAUGCUACUGCUGAAGAGGUAUAUUGAGCCCUGCCUGGUUAACCUCCAGUGAGGUUAUUAGAGAAUUGGGAGAGGCUCAAAUCAGCAUCCUGCACCUAGUUAUCAAACCAUUGUGAAGUCUUGAUUCCUGGAUGGCCAGAAAACUUGUCAUUGGUCAAGAGCAACAUUAAGAUCUGCCUGUUACUCAUACUGAUGCUUCCUGCCCAGCAAGUUCAUCAGAGGGCGAGGAUGAAUUACGGUUGCCAUGAAUGUCCUUGUGAGGCAGUUGGGAAGCCUUGGCUGGAUUGUGAAGGAUAUUUGAAAAGUAUUUUAGAGUCCACCAGAUCAUCCAUGUGAGUGACCAUGCAGCAAAAGAAGGAGGGUCCUCUCAGUGAUUAAGGAUUAUGAAGUAUUAAUUCUUCCACUGAUAUCUCAAAAGGUGAUCUGGACAAAGGAACAGGUAUCUCAGAUUCCCAGUUCUCAAUCUUCCUUCCUCCUUACAAGAUACAAGCAACCUUCAACCUUCCCAGAGAUGGUCUCUGUAUAUGAAAGACAAUGGUCUUAUUAUGAAGUCGGCAUAUUUAUAGCUUGAUAAAAACUGAAAAAUCUGUAGCCUAUUUUUAAUAGUGAUAUAUAAGGAAAUAACAUAAAUAAAAAUUUGGCAACAAGAAUCCAGGAGCAAAUUUAUGAUCAAUACACAAUUGGGCAAGUGGUGUUCAUACCAACCAUGCAAAAAUGGUUCAAUUUUAGGAAAUCUUUGAAUAUAGCUUUUAGUAGGUCAGAGGAAAUCAGUAUCUCAAAGUACUUUCAUGAUUUAGUUAUUUUUAAGUUAUUGAUCAUUUUGGAUUUUAUUUUGAGGUUGAUAGCCAUAUAAUGAUUUCACAUUUUAUUUUAAAUGGCUAGCUGUUGUCCCAAUACUAUUUACUGAAAAAUCUACAUUUUGCUCACUCUUUUUUUUUUUUUUUAAGAGACAGGGUUUUACCAUGUUGCCCAGGCUAGAUUUGAACUCCUGGGCUCAAGUGAUCCUCUCGACCCAGCCUCCUGAGUAUCUGUGACUGCAGGCAAGUACCCCUGUGCCUGCUCACUUAUUUAAAGUUCUACACAUCAAAUACUAAAUUCUCAUCUAUUUGACUUCUGGACUCACUGGUUGGUGUCAUUGACUGUCUUUUCCUGUGAUAGCAUAGAAUUAUUUUGAUUGUGGAAGUACUAUAAAUGUUGCUAUUUAUUGUGCCUCUUGCUGCCUAUCUAUAUUUAGACUCAUUUA
Molecule: long non-coding RNA, 1477 nt
Filed under: Homo sapiens (human)
Lineage: Eukaryota; Metazoa; Chordata; Mammalia; Primates; Hominidae
Description: FTX transcript, XIST regulator
Source: RNAcentral